AAAUCUCAACCCUUCCAUUUUAUUUUGGGAGUGCGUUGGAAUUGGGGCGUGCCGGUGGCCCUGCCAUCUGGCUCCCCUUCAAAUUCAUUAGCUGGGCCUUGCCCUUGGGUCCCGUGGUGUGAUAAGAAAACGCCGUGGACCCUUAGGCAAUCUGGGCCUGCUUCCAAUCGUCGGUUGGCCGAAUCCUUUUGACCC
Molecule: unclassified non-coding RNA, 195 nt
Filed under: uncultured Basidiomycota
Lineage: Eukaryota; Fungi; Basidiomycota
Also listed under: 1 other name
Description: sequence contains ITS2
Source: RNAcentral